Long non-coding RNA from Mangifera indica (mango), 193 nucleotides. RefSeq lists it as uncharacterized. Lineage: Eukaryota; Viridiplantae; Streptophyta; Magnoliopsida; Sapindales; Anacardiaceae. The record is from RefSeq and is a predicted model, not a curated record. The transcript has 2 exons.
UCACCUCCUCAUAACAUAUUGGUAACUUGUAUUAGCUGUCAGCAUGUGGUAUUCUAGUGCAACCUAACAGGAAAUUGUGGCAGGCAGGAAGCCAGGAAAAUGCCAACAUUCUUUUGGUUUAUGUUCAGCCAACUUCAUCUAGGCCGGAACAUGACAUCUAGCAUUACCAGAAGGGAUCACUGAUAGCAUAGGA